AUUGAACGCUGGCGGCAUGCCUAACACAUGCAAGUCGAACGGUAACAGGCCCUUCGGGGCGCUGACGAGUGGCGGACGGGUGAGUAAUGCUUAGGAAUCUGCCUAGUAGUGGGGGAUAACCCGGGGAAACUCGGGCUAAUACCGCAUACGUCCUACGGGAGAAAGCGGGGGACCUUUGGGCCUCGCGCUAUUAGAUGAGCCUAAGUCCGAUUAGCUAGUUGGUAGGGUAACGGCCUACCAAGGCGACGANCGGUAGCUGGUCUGAGAGGACGACCAGCCACACUGGGACUGAGACACGGCCCAGACUCCUACGGGAGGCAGCAGUGGGGAAUCUUGCGCAAUGGGCGAAAGCCUGACGCAGCGACGCCGCGUGAGGGAUGACGGCCUCGGUUGUAAC
Molecule: ribosomal RNA, 397 nt
Filed under: uncultured bacterium
Lineage: Bacteria
Description: bacterial SSU rRNA
Rfam family: Bacterial small subunit ribosomal RNA
Source: RNAcentral